Molecule: ribosomal RNA, 553 nt
Filed under: Synechococcus sp. BAC 69
Lineage: Bacteria; Bacillati; Cyanobacteriota; Cyanophyceae; Synechococcales; Synechococcaceae
Description: bacterial SSU rRNA
Rfam family: Bacterial small subunit ribosomal RNA
Source: RNAcentral
AAACGACCGCUAAUACCCCAUAUGCCGAGAGGUGAAAUGAAUUUUCGCCUGAGGAUGAGCCCGCGUCUGAUUAGCUAGUUGGUGUGGUAAUGGCGCACCAAGGCUUCGAUCAGUAGCUGGUCUGAGAGGAUGAUCAGCCACACUGGGACUGAGACACGGCCCAGACUCCUACGGGAGGCAGCAGUGGGGAAUUUUCCGCAAUGGGCGAAAGCCUGACGGAGCAACGCCGCGUGAGGGAUGAAUGCCUCUGGGCUGUAAACCUCUUUUAUCAAGGAAGAAGAUCUGACGGUACUUGAUGAAUAAGCCACGGCUAAUUCCGAGCCAGCAGCCGCGGUAAUACGGGAGUGGCAAGCCUUAUCCGGAAUUAUUGGGCGUAAAGCGUCCGCAGGCGGCCUUGAAAGUCUGUCGUUAAAGCGUGGAGCUUAACUCCAUUUCGGCGAUGGAAACUACAAGGCUAGAGUGUGGUAGGGGCAGAGGGAAUUCCCGAUGUAGCGGUGAUAUGCGUAGAUAUCGGGAAGAACACCAGUGGCGAAGGCGCUCUGUUGNGCCAUGG